This 327-nucleotide long non-coding RNA is filed under the name Pan troglodytes (chimpanzee). RNAcentral's name for it is "long non-coding RNA NONPTRT017369". The record is from RNAcentral. Lineage: Eukaryota; Metazoa; Chordata; Mammalia; Primates; Hominidae.
GCUGACUGCCCUGGGGUCUGAUCUAUGGUGCUGCGCUGGAGAGAACUGUAAGGUCUGCUGUUGAAUGCCUUUGAGAACUUGAUGCAUAAAAUUUGCAUGACUCCUCACUCCUUUCUGAAUCUCUCAUUGGACUCAAGCCAGCAUGGCUCACACCACAAAGGUUAACGGCAGUGCCUCAGAUUCGGGAGAAAUCUGUACACGAAAUGCAGAGAAGAUCCUCCUAAGAGACACAUCACCAUGGGGACAACCUGCCCAAAAUGGCAUGCCAAGUGUUCAUUUCUUUUUUGAGUUAUGUGCCAAAUAGCUGAAUGAGUGAGAAUAGUAAUU